AUGGUUGUCGUCAGCUCGUGUCGUGAGAUGUUGGGUUAAGUCCCGCAACGAGCGCAACCCCUAUUGUUAGUUGCCAUCAUUCAGUUGGGCACUCUAGCGAGACUGCCGGUAUAACCGAGAAGUGGGAUGACGUCAAAUCAUCAUGCCCCUUAUGACCUGGGCUACACACGUGCUACAAUGGUUGGUACAACGAGUUGCGAGUCGGUGACGGCGAGCUAAUCUCUUAAAGCCAAUCUCAGUUCGGAUUGUAGGCUGCAACUCGCCUACAUGAAGUCGGAAUCGCUAGUAAUCGCGGAUCAGCACGCCGCGGUGAAUACGUUCCCGGGCCUU
RNAcentral lists this ribosomal RNA (330 nucleotides) under uncultured Streptococcus sp. Its description in RNAcentral is "bacterial SSU rRNA". It matches the Rfam family "Bacterial small subunit ribosomal RNA", at positions 1045 to 1382 of the family's 1533-position model. Lineage: Bacteria; Bacillati; Bacillota; Bacilli; Lactobacillales; Streptococcaceae. The record is from RNAcentral.